This 230-nucleotide ribosomal RNA is filed under the name uncultured bacterium. RNAcentral's name for it is "partial 16S ribosomal RNA". It matches the Rfam family "Bacterial small subunit ribosomal RNA", at positions 563 to 790 of the family's 1533-position model. The record is from RNAcentral.
UAAGCGUGCGCGGGCGGUUUUUGUAAGUCUGAUGUGAAAUCCCCGGGCUCAACCUGGGAAUUGCAUUGGAGACUGCAAGGCUAGAAUCUGGCAGAGGGGGGUAGAAUUCCACGUGUAGCAGUGAAAUGCGUAGAUAUGUGGAGGAACACCGAUGGCGAAGGCAGCCCCCUGGGUCAAGAUUGACGCUCAUGCACGAAAGCGUGGGGAGCAAACAGGAUUAGAUACCCUGU